Molecule: ribosomal RNA, 476 nt
Filed under: uncultured anaerobic ammonium-oxidizing bacterium
Lineage: Bacteria
Description: bacterial SSU rRNA
Rfam family: Bacterial small subunit ribosomal RNA
Source: RNAcentral
UUUCGCAAUGCCCGAAAGGGUGACAAUGCGACGCCGCGUGAGCGAUGAAGGCCUUCGGGUUGUAAAGCUCUGUCAGCUCGGAUGAAAGCAAUCGGGCUAAUAUCCCGCUUGUCUGACGGUACGAGCAGAGGAAGCCACGGCUAACUCCGUGCCAGCAGCCGCGGUAAUACGGAGGUGGCAAGCGUUGUUCGGAUUUACUGGGUGUAAAGGGCAUGUAGGCGUCCCCUUAAGUCGGGUGUGAAAUCCCUUGGCUCAACCAAGGAACUGCAUUCGAUACUGGGGGGAUUGAGUACAAAAGAGGUAAGCGGAAUUCCGGAAGUAAGGGUGAAAUCUGUAGAUAUCCGGAAGAACACCAUUAGCGAAGGCGGCUUACUGGUCUGAUACUGACGCUGAAAUGAGAAAGCUAGGGGAUCAAACAGGAUUAGAUACCCUGGUAGUCCUAGCCGUAAACGAUGGGCACUAAGUAGAGGGGUUUU